UACGGAGGGUGCGAGCGUUGUUCGGAGUUACUGGGCGUAAAGGGUGCGUAGGCGGCUUUUUAAGUUUGGUGUGAAAUCUCCCGGCUUAACUGGGAGGGUGCGCUAUAGACUGUGGGGCUAGAGUGUGGGAGAGGAAAGUGGAAUUCCUGGUGUAGCGGUGAAAUGCGUAGAUAUCAAGUGGAACACCAGUGGCGAAGGCGAGUCUCUGGACAUUUCCUGACGCUGAGGCACGAAAGCCAGGGGAGCAAACGGG
RNAcentral lists this ribosomal RNA (253 nucleotides) under uncultured bacterium. RNAcentral's name for it is "partial 16S ribosomal RNA". It matches the Rfam family "Bacterial small subunit ribosomal RNA", at positions 524 to 776 of the family's 1533-position model. The record is from RNAcentral.